CUUUAAACUAUCGGUUUUGAUUGGUCUAGACGAGAGGGUAACAUUCAAAAAAAUUGUCACCCUCUCAGCUAUUUGGUAGAGUAAAUUAACACCCUCUUAUCAGCCAAUCAAAAUAUGUCAUUUCAACGUGAAGUAUAAUAAUGUGAGUUGUCAUCUUCAUUUUAUCUAUGUUUUGAAUACUGUUUUUCUAUGUUUUGUUUUGUGUACUUUUGUUGUCUGUUUGUCUUUGUCUUUUUAUCCUAUGGCGUUUUUAGGUAUUUUUUUUUCGAUUUAUGAGUUUGACUUCCCCUCUGGUAUCUUUCGCUCCUCUCUUGUGUGACUUUUAAUUGUUAGAACAAAAGCUUGCUUAAUUUGUGUAAAAGAGAAAAUUUAAUAAUUGUUCCCUGCAGUUUUUUAUAUAUUCUGUUUUAUUUUUUUUUCUUUAAAACUGUCCUGUACCAAGUCAGAAAAAUGGCCAUUGUUAUACCAUAGUUCGUUUCUGUGUGUGUAACAUUUUACGUUGUGUCGUUUGUUUUCUCUUAUAUUAUAGUGUGAAUUCACAUUACUAUGAGACGUGUCACGAUACUUUUCUAUCCCAAAUUCAUGUAUUUAGUUUUGAUGUUAUAUUUGUUAUUCUCAUCGGAUUUUGUUUAAUGCUUAGUCCGUUUCUGUGUGUGUAACAUUUUAAUGUUUUGUCCUUGUUCUCCUCUUAUAUUUAAUGCGUUUCCCUCAGUUUUGGUUUGUUACCCCGAUUUUGUUUUUGUCCAUAGAUUUACGAGUUUUGAACAGCGGUAUACUACUGUUGCCUUUAUUUAUUAUAUAAACAUCGGAUUAUGGUUUUAUUGGCACGUUUAAUAACAUACCAGGAUUCUCGGUUACAUCAUAUAUUGCUGUAAUGUUUAGAACAUAACUUAUCCAAUACAUUUGUGCUUUGGUUUACAAUAGCAAUAUCAAGUGCAAUUACGCAAGGUAAUCUAAUCAAAUGAGA
Molecule: long non-coding RNA, 967 nt
Filed under: Mytilus galloprovincialis (Mediterranean mussel)
Lineage: Eukaryota; Metazoa; Mollusca; Bivalvia; Mytilida; Mytilidae
Source: RNAcentral